AAACUAAUCGAUUUAAUCGAUUAUUAAAAUAGUUAACAACUUUUUUAGUCAUCGAUUAGUUGUUUAAUAAUCAUAUUUUACCGCAUAAAGUCUAUUUUUUUACCACAAUCUGACAUCGGUUACAAUCUGUUAAAUUUGCCGCCAGUGUGUGGCAGUAAUGAGCCACUGAUCUACCAGUGGAGCCGUAGAAGAAGAAAUGAGCCAAUAAGUGCCCUCGGUUUUCAUGACGUAUCACGUUACUGACGCUCAUCUUGCUGUGAGAGAUGGCGGAUCAACAAGAAAUACGGAAGAAAAAUAGAAGCGACAAAACAAGAGAAACCCUGGACAAAAACCUCACGAGUAUGGGAGCACUUCACUAGAUGCCUUGAAAAGACCGGUGACCUGCAAAAUAUGCAAAAACCAUGGCACGACGGAAGCACGACGUCCCUAAGUGAACAUUUGAGACGAAAACGUGGGGGCUGAUGCAGCAGAGGAAUGUCCGAAAAAAACAAGCAACGAUGGACAACUACAUGGGGAACAAGACACUCACCCUCAGCAAUGCAUACCACUUACAAACUCUAUUCCAGAUUCUACAUUAUUUUUUAUGGAAUUUACCUCUUAUAUUUUGAUGCCAAAAAAUUAUUCUGGACUGAUAUUUUGCACUGUUUAGCUCAUUUUACACUGCUGACUGUGUUCAUGUGCAAUAAAAUAGAUUGCAGUCAACUGCACAAUUCUCUUAUGUUUUUCUUUUUCUUAACUGAAAUGUAUUCAUCACUUGUAUAGGUUAAAUAGCUAAACAAUAACAAACCGAUUAAUCGA
This is a long non-coding RNA of Nothobranchius furzeri (turquoise killifish), 798 nucleotides long. RefSeq lists it as uncharacterized. The record is from RefSeq and is a predicted model, not a curated record. NCBI's taxonomy places the organism in Eukaryota, Metazoa, Chordata, Actinopteri, Cyprinodontiformes, Nothobranchiidae.